AACGAACGCUGGCGGUAUGCUUAACACAUGCAAGUCGAACGAACGUAUUGAGUUCGGUUAAUACGUUAGUGGCAGACGGGUGAGUAACGCGUGGGAAUGUACCCUUUAGUUCAGAAUAACUACGGGAAACUGUAGCUAAUACUGGAUACGCCCUUCGGGGGAAAGAAUAAUCGCUAAAGGAAUAGCCCGCGUUAGAUUAGGUAGUUGGUGAGGUAAAGGCUCACCAAGCGGACGACCUAAAGCUGGUGUGAGAGGAUGAUCAGCCACACGGGGACGGAUACGCGGCCCAGACUCCUACGGGAGGCAGCAGUGUGGAAUGUUGGACAAUGGGGGCAACCCUGAUCCAGCAAUACCGCGUGAGUGAAGAAGGCCUUCAGGUUGUAAAGCUCUUUUACCGGGGAAGAUAAUGACGGUACCCGGGGAAUAAGCGCCGGCUAACUUCGUGCCAGCCGCCGCGGUAA
This 461-nucleotide ribosomal RNA is filed under the name uncultured bacterium. RNAcentral describes it as "partial 16S ribosomal RNA". It matches the Rfam family "Bacterial small subunit ribosomal RNA", at positions 29 to 523 of the family's 1533-position model. The record is from RNAcentral.